This is a long non-coding RNA of Zingiber officinale, 497 nucleotides long. RefSeq lists it as uncharacterized. The transcript has 2 exons. Lineage: Eukaryota; Viridiplantae; Streptophyta; Magnoliopsida; Zingiberales; Zingiberaceae. The record is from RefSeq and is a predicted model, not a curated record.
UCCUUUCUCCUCACGCACGCGGCGCCGUUUCUCCUCUCGGGCGAAAACCCCAGCCAAGGCUAGGGUUCCUCCCUCCGGCGUCGGCGAGGUGUUUUCCGGCCGAUCUCCACCCGUGGGUGACCUUUCCGGCAAGGAAAGCUAGGGGAACACAAGGAAAAGGGAGAAACCGAAGCUCUACCGAAAACCUAGGGCGCUCCUCGGGUUGUAAGUCCAAGAAUACCGUUAUACAGAUAAAAAUAAAGGAAAGGCUAAAGUGGUGUAGAAGAAGGCGACAAGGAGACGUUGAUGGUGUGUGUGGUGGCUGUUAUGGAAGUUUGGGACCUUGCUAAGAAAUUGCUGCAAGUUAAUUUAAUUAGUUUUCUUCUUAAAUAACUAGGAGAAUUUAGAGAAAUACAGAUUCUUUUGCUCUUUCUGUUUUGCUGUUUUGAAGUUGUUCAAAUGCUUUUGUUCUGUUGAAUUUCUGGAAUCAUUCGGAUGUUAAAUGCUUAUGUUCAUUA